CCUACGGGUGGCAGCAGUGAGGAAUAUUGGUCAAUGGGCGCGAGCCUGAACCAGCCAAGUCGCGUGAGGGAUGACGGUCCUACGGAUUGUAAACCUCUUUUGCCGGGGAGCAAGCGUGCGUUCGUGAACGCGCGUCGAGAGUACCCGGAGAAAAAGCAUCGGCUAACUCCGUGCCAGCAGCCGAGGUAAUACGGAGGAUGCGAGCGUUAUCGGGUUUUAUUGGGGUUAAAGGGUGCUUAGGAGGAAUGCCAAGGCAGCGGUAAAAAUGCGGUGCUUAACGACGUCGAGCCGUUGAAACUGGCGUUCUUGAGUUGGCGAGAGGUAUGCGGAAUGCGUGGUGUAGCGGUGAAAUGCGUAGAUAUCACGCAGAACUCCGGUUGCGAAGGCGGCAUACCGGCGCCCUACUGACGGUGAGGCACGAAAGCGUGGGUAUCGAACAGGAUUAGAUACCCGGGUAGUC
RNAcentral lists this ribosomal RNA (460 nucleotides) under uncultured bacterium. RNAcentral describes it as "partial 16S ribosomal RNA". It matches the Rfam family "Bacterial small subunit ribosomal RNA", at positions 338 to 795 of the family's 1533-position model. The record is from RNAcentral.